AACGCGAAGAACCUUACCAACCCUUGACAUCCUCGGACCGGCCCAGAGAUGGGUCUUUCACUUCGGUGACCGAGUGACAGGUGCUGCAUGGCUGUCGUCAGCUCGUGUCGUGAGAUGUUCGGUUAAGUCCGGCAACGAGCGCAACCCACAUCCUUAGUUGCCAGCAGUUCGGCUGGGCACUCUAAGGAAACUGCCCGUGAUAAGCGGGAGGAAGGUGUGGAUGACGUCAAGUCCUCAUGGCCCUUACGGGUUGGGCUACACACGUGCUACAAUGCCAGUGACAAUGGGUUAAUCCCAAAAAACUGUCUCAGUUCGGAUUGGGGUCUGCAACUCGACCCCAUGAAGUCGGAAUCGCUAGUAAUCGCGUAACAGCAUGACGCGGUGAAUACGUUCCCGGGUCUGUACACACCG
Molecule: ribosomal RNA, 411 nt
Filed under: uncultured bacterium
Lineage: Bacteria
Description: bacterial SSU rRNA
Rfam family: Bacterial small subunit ribosomal RNA
Source: RNAcentral